This 520-nucleotide ribosomal RNA is filed under the name uncultured Glomus. Its description in RNAcentral is "SSU rRNA". It matches the Rfam family "Eukaryotic small subunit ribosomal RNA", at positions 569 to 1091 of the family's 1831-position model. The record is from RNAcentral. Lineage: Eukaryota; Fungi; Glomeromycota; Glomeromycetes; Glomerales; Glomeraceae.
AGCAGCCGCGGUAAUUCCAGCUCCAAUAGCGUAUAUUAAAGUUGUUGCAGUUAAAAAGCUCGUAGUUGAAUUUCGGGGUUAGCAGGUCGGUCGUGCCAUCGGUAUGAACUGGUCUCGCUGAUCCCUCCCUCUUGACGAACUGUGAUGCCAUUAAUUUGGUGUUACGGGAAAUCAGGACUGUUACUUUGAAAAAAUUAGAGUGUUUAAAGCAGGCUCACGCUUGAAUACAUUAGCAUGGAAUAAUGAAAUAGGACGUUCGAUCCUAUUUUGUUGGUUUUUAGGAUCAACGUAAUGAUUAAUAGGGAUAGUUGGGGGCAUUAGUAUUCAAUUGUCAGAGGUGAAAUUCUUGGAUUUAUUGAAGACUAACUACUGCGAAAGCAUUUGCCAAGGAUGUUUUCAUUAAUCAAGAACGAAAGUUAGGGGAUCGAAGACGAUCAGAUACCGUCGUAGUCUUAACCAUAAACUAUGCCGACUAGGGAUCGGAUGAUGUUAAUUUUUAAUGACUCAUUCGGCGCCUUAA